AACUUUUCUCUGUGACAAGCACAGUUCUAGGCACUGCAGACGCCCUGGCAGUCGAGACAUCGUCCUUCUCCCGGCGCUUCGUGGGGACACAGACAGUGAAGACGGGUGCUGUCACAUUACUUUUCCUGAAGCUCCUGGAAGCCAGUACUCAGUUCCACAUGGAUGUGCUCCGGGUUUAUUUGACGUCGUGUGCUUCAGGAAGGGCAGAGCUCCUUCCACGACUCUGUGGAGUGAGCCUCAGAUAAGCUGCAGAGGUGUGAAGAGCGCCUGUCUAAGGAGAUCCGUAAGGCCUCUCCUGCCGGUCUUUCAUCCAGUUCCCCCUGGGUAUGUGGCAUUGGCAGUUCAUAAAGGUGCAACUGGACGCCGACAAGUGGGAAUGGAGCUCCUCUUCACGCGGCUGGUGAGAUGUGCCUGAGAGGAAACCUACUGAGCUCCCCUGACAUUAUCUCCGUCCACCUGAGGCCUGCGUGUUUUGAAAUGUCAUCUUGCUUGAGAGAUAAUACCAGCUCUGAUUGUGUCAGUCACAGAGCUGGGCAUGGAAUAAGUGAAGACAGACUCUAAGAUAAAGUCAAGGUCAUUCAUGCGUGUUAAAGAAAUGGGGCCCUUACUAUGUUCCAGGAAGUAUGGGGCCAAACUGGUGUUACCAGUGCAAUCUUGGGGUGACCUCAGUGUUUGCCCCUGGUCGGAAGUGGGUUUGAGCCCCUCCACCACGAAGAGGAGGAAUUGCGGACAAUGAAAUCUUGUAGCUAUGACAACCACAGAGAGCAAAAGCCAGAGGUGAGCUGUAUCUGUCAAGGCCGAUGGAACACAGGUGAGGCUGGCCAGCACCCACUGGGACAGUUCGCACAGCCUCAUGUGGUUUGAAGACUGCAGGCGGCUCCCACAUGCCCCGGGGCAGGGGUCCCAGCAACUGCAGGUGCUGCCAGACAGUGUCUCGGUUUGUUGCUGAGGCCUGCCACCUGUCACCAACCUGCCAUACAUGAGAGCAGGGCAUCGCACACCUCUCCAGCGUCCCAGCCAGGACACGCCGCUGCGUUGUCCUCUUUGGUGCUGCGGAGUGGGCAGCACCAGGCAAGGCCGGCCGGGCAUCUCAGACCCCAGGACACUAAGAAUGUGGAAGGCCAGCAACCGCUCCUGCUCCCUCGUUUACACCCCCCACCACUUGGCAGGUCUCCCAUCUCCUUGGCUCAGGGACUCCAGAGGGAAAUAUACAAGAUCGACCUGGUGAGUCUCAGAGAUAAUUUAAUCCCACAUUUGCAUUUAUAAUCUCAAAAGUCUAUAGGGACCAGGCAAGUAUAUAAAUGUGUAAUUCUGACUUGUUUAAGACCAUAAGGUGUCAUGGAGCACAGUCUGAACUGGCUACCUCUUAAAGGAAUUCACCCCCUCACCCUGAAAAACCAAAUCAAAGCAAAAUGAAAUGGGUAGCCUAACAAAACACAUCUCUGGGUACCAAGUGUCCCUCAUGCCACCAAUAUGCAAUUUCUGAUCUGGUCUAGCCCUUCAUUUGAUAGACAGAGAGACUGAGUCCCAGGGGAAAUGUUACCUGUUCCUAGGGCAGGACUAGAGGCCUGGUUACCUAAAUUUCCAUCCAUGGUUGGCAACCCCACACAGCCUAACUCAUUAUUUGUUGGGGGCAGGCAGUGGGUAUUGUGAGAUUUCUGAGUACCAAACCUUCAGAGUGUUGACACCAAGCCCCACCUUAUUGGGACUGAGAAAGGCUGAGCCGCCCAUCAUAGGAAGGGCUCACAUACAGGCAGGAUGACCUCUGUGUCUCCAUCUGUAACCUGGAGAUGAAGCCUCCCAAUCUGUCUACUUUAUGUCAUGAGAGGUUUCUUAAAAGGGUAGGGGACUAGAGACAAGGUCAAUGUGCAGAUGAAGUGAGUCGAUUAUGGAAAACCCUGGAACAGUGCCUAAUGCAGAGUAAGUAUUCACUCAGUAUCAGUUGUCACUGCAGUGUUGUUGCGUCAAUAUUAUUGUUUGACACGGUCUAAGACACGACUGGUAAAAUGAAAAUGUUACCCAGAAGCCGAACUAAUGGCAAAUGACUCAAAGCAAGCUUCGUAUGUGAUUCACACGGCAUACCAAGGAAAAUUACAAGGAGAGAAAUUACACAGCACAGCCAGGAAAAUAGAAUAAUGAAAGCCAAGCAGUAAUGCUAUCCAGGGUAAACCUAUUCACCAGCCAGGAAGAUAAGAAUUGAGCAAAUUUGUUCUCGAGAAAGAUACAGCAGAGAGCUUUCUCUGAAAAAGAAAAACUGAACAAUCUGCAUUCUGAGACCUCUUAGGAAAGAAAAUUUCCUUUAGUAAAUACUUCAUAUUCAAAAUGAUCAUGAGCCACAAAAGGCAUUUUUCCUCAAGUGAACUGAGGGGCAUUUUUCCUCAAGUGAACUGAGAAGGUUUCUUAUAAAUUAAAAAGUUUUGGGACUUCCCUGGUGGUCCAGUGGCUAAGAUUGUCCUCCCAAUGCAAGGGUCCUGGGCUGAAUCCUUGGUCAAGGAACUAGAUCCCACCCGUCACAACUUAAAAAAAAAAAAAAAAGGAUUCCACAUGCCACAAUAAAGAUCCAGCACAUGGCAACAAAAUCCUGCGUGCUGCCACUAAGACCCAGCAGAGUCAAAUAAAAAAACAAACCUUUCCCUGCAAAAGUGGAAUGAAUUCAUUGUAAGCUAUUGACAUGAACAUGCCUUCUUAGCUAUCUGAAGCCUCUGGUCUGACGUUGGGUUUCUGCUGCAGGAAGUCUACUGGGCAGUGUGAACUUCUGUGCCUUUUGGGCUGUUCUCCCACACCUGCCAUAACACUCAGGUAUUCCUACCUCACUGAAUGCGCACUCCUUCUUUCCUCUGAGCUCCCAAGACGUGUCCCGCUAGCAUGCUGGCACCUUCACUAGGGGUCCUUGCCGGGGUGUUGAG
Molecule: non-coding RNA, 2906 nt
Organism: Odocoileus virginianus texanus
Lineage: Eukaryota; Metazoa; Chordata; Mammalia; Artiodactyla; Cervidae
Source: RefSeq, a predicted model, not a curated record